UACGUAGGGUGCAAGCGUUGAUCGGAAUUACUGGGCGUAAAGCGUACGCAGGCGGCUUUGCAAGACAGGUGUGAAAUCCCCGGGCCUAACCUGGGAACUGCAUUUGUGACUGCAUGGCUAGAGUUUGUCAGAGGGGGGUGGAAUUCCACGUGUAGCAGUGAAAUGCGUAGAUAUGUGGAGGAACACCAAUGGCGAAGGCAGCCCCCUGGGAUGUGACUGACGCUCAUGUACGAAAGCGUGGGGAGCAAACAGG
Molecule: ribosomal RNA, 253 nt
Filed under: uncultured bacterium
Lineage: Bacteria
Description: partial 16S ribosomal RNA
Rfam family: Bacterial small subunit ribosomal RNA
Source: RNAcentral